GUGCUCUCUUCAGCAGCACAUAUACUAAAAUGGGAAUGAUACAAAGAAGAUUAGUACGGCCCUUGUGCAAGGAAAACACACAAAUUCAUGAAGCGUUUCAUAUUUUU
This is a small nuclear RNA of Trichechus manatus latirostris (Florida manatee), 107 nucleotides long. The record is from RefSeq and is a predicted model, not a curated record. Lineage: Eukaryota; Metazoa; Chordata; Mammalia; Sirenia; Trichechidae.